RNAcentral lists this ribosomal RNA (503 nucleotides) under uncultured bacterium. Its description in RNAcentral is "partial 16S ribosomal RNA". It matches the Rfam family "Bacterial small subunit ribosomal RNA", at positions 30 to 523 of the family's 1533-position model. The record is from RNAcentral.
AUUGAACGCUGGCGGCAGGCUUAACACAUGCAAGUCGAGCGGGGUGAUGGUGCUUGCACUAUCACUUAGCGGCGGACGGGUGAGUAAUGCUUAGGAAUCUGCCUAUUAGUGGGGGACAACAUCUCGAAAGGUAUGCUAAUACCGCAUACGUCCUACGGGAGAAAGCAGGGGAUCACUUGUGACCUUGCGCUAAUAGAUGAGCCUAAGUCGGAUUAGCUAGUUGGUGGGGUAAAGGCCUACCAAGGCGACGAUCUGUAGCGGGUCUGAGAGGAUGAUCCGCCACACUGGGACUGAGACACGACCAAGACUCCUCCGGGAGGCAGCAGUGGGGAAUAUUGGACAAUGGGGGGAACCCUGAUCCAGCCAUGCCGCGUGUGUGAAGAAGGCCUUAUGGUUGUAAAGCACUUUAAGCGGGGAGGAGGCUCUUUUGGUUAAUACCCAAGAUGAGUGGACGUUACUCGCAGAAUAAGCACCGGCUAACUCUGUGCCAGCAGCAGCCGCCG